RNAcentral lists this ribosomal RNA (880 nucleotides) under uncultured bacterium. RNAcentral describes it as "partial 16S ribosomal RNA". It matches the Rfam family "Bacterial small subunit ribosomal RNA", at positions 11 to 885 of the family's 1533-position model. The record is from RNAcentral.
GUUUGAUCAUGGCUCAGAUUGAACGCUGGCGGCAUGCUUUACACAUGCAAGUCGAACGGCAGCACGGGGGCAACCCUGGUGGCGAGUGGCGAACGGGUGAGUAAUAUAUCGGAACGUACCCGGAAAUGGGGGAUAACGUAGCGAAAGUUACGCUAAUACCGCAUAUGCCCUGAGGGGGAAAGUGGGGGAUCGCAAGACCUCACGUUUUCGGAGCGGCCGAUAUCAGAUUAGCUAGUUGGUGGGGUAAAGGCCUACCAAGGCGACGAUCUGUAGCUGGUCUGAGAGGACGACCAGCCACACUGGGACUGAGACACGGCCCAGACUCCUACGGGAGGCAGCAGUGGGGAAUUUUGGACAAUGGGGGCAACCCUGAUCCAGCCAUGCCGCGUGAGUGAAGAAGGCCUUCGGGUUGUAAAGCUCUUUUGUCCGGAGCGAAACGGUACGGGUGAAUAUCCCGUGCUACUGACGGUACCGGAAGAAUAAGCACCGGCUAACUACGUGCCAGCAGCCGCGGUAAUACGUAGGGUGCGAGCGUUAAUCGGAAUUACUGGGCGUAAAGCGUGCGCAGGCGGUUUUGUAAGCCAGAUGUGAAGUCCCCGGGCUCAACCUGGGAAUGGCAUUUGGGACUGCAAGGCUUGAGUAUGGCAGAGGGGACUAGAAUUCCUGGUGUAGCAGUGAAAUGCGUAGAUAUCAGGAGGAAUACCGAUGGCGAAGGCAGGUCCCUGGGUUAAUACUGACGCUCAUGCACGAAAGCGUGGGGGAGCAAACAGGAUUAGAUACCCUGGUAGUCCACGCCCUAAACGAUGUCAACUGGUUGUUGGGGGUUUGACACUCUCAGUAACGAAGCUAACGCGUGAAGUUGACCGCCUGGGGAGUACGG